AUGUAGGACUCUAAGGAAGAGAGCCAGGACCAGCACUGAAAAUCAUCGUGCUAGGGAACAGCACCUCCCGGAAGACCUCCUUAGCUACAGAUUUUGCUCAAAAAACUUUCAGGAACCAGUACAAACUAUAGGACUGGAUUUCUUUUGAGAAGGAUAACAUUGCCAGGAAACUUGAAUGUUACUCUCUAGUUUGGGAUACAGGAGGCCGGACAAUAAGAAGCAAAAUGUUGGACAGAUCCAUCUAUGGAGCACAGGAAAUCAUCUUGGUAUAUGGUAUUACAAGUUAUCAAAGCUUUGAGAAUUUUUAGAAGAUUAGUGAAGAAAGUGAGUGAAGAGUCAGAAACUCAGCCGCUGGUUACCUUAGUGGGCAAUAAAAUUGAUUUGGAGCAUAAUCAAACAGUAAAACCUGAAAAACACUUACGGUUUUGCCAGGAAAAUGGUUUUAAUAGCCACUUUGUUUCAGCCAAGGCAAGAGACUCUGUCUUCCUGUGUUUUCAAAAAGUUGUUGCUGAAAUCCUUGGAAUCAAAUUAAACAAAGCAGAAAUAGAACAGUCACAGAGGGUGGUAAAGGCAGAUAUUGUAAACUACAACCAGGAACCUAUGGCAAGAGCUGUUAACCCUUCUAGAAGCUCUGUGUGUGCAGUUGGGUGA
RNAcentral lists this long non-coding RNA (651 nucleotides) under Homo sapiens (human). RNAcentral describes it as "non-protein coding lnc-CD40LG-5:1". The record is from RNAcentral. Lineage: Eukaryota; Metazoa; Chordata; Mammalia; Primates; Hominidae.